Molecule: unclassified non-coding RNA, 425 nt
Filed under: soil metagenome
Description: partial contains 5.8S ribosomal RNA, internal transcribed spacer 2, and large subunit ribosomal RNA
Rfam family: 5.8S ribosomal RNA (bases 1-120)
Source: RNAcentral
GAUGAAGAACGCAGCGAAAUGCGAUAAGUAGUGUGAAUUGCAGAAUUCCGUGAAUCAUCGAAUCUUUGAACGCACAUUGCGCCUUCUGGUAUUCCGGAAGGCAUGCCUGUUCGAGAGUCAUUAACAACCGUUUCGAUCCCUUUCUUUCAGAAAUUACAAAGAGGAAAAGGGUUUGGUUAUGGUGGAGGAGGGAAAGGGAGCGUUUAGCCUGUAAAAAAAGAGGCUGUGUUCCGCCUCCCCCCCAAAAUUGUACAGGCGGUCGUGUGCGCCCACGCAUCGAGGUGUUGUAAAAGCUGCCACGGCACUUUGCACCUGUGCAGUGCGAGAUUGGCCAGCCGGUUUAAAAACCCCUCCAAACAAUCAAAGGUUGACCUCGGAUCAGGUAGGGAUACCCGCUGAACUUAAGCAUAUCAAUAAGCGGAGGA